Non-coding RNA from Biomphalaria glabrata, 72 nucleotides. The record is from Rfam. Lineage: Eukaryota; Metazoa; Mollusca; Gastropoda; Planorbidae.
GGUUCUAUGGUGUAAUGGUUAGCACUCUGGACUUUGAAUCCAGCGAUCCGAGUUCAAAUCUCUGUAGAACCU